This 482-nucleotide ribosomal RNA is filed under the name uncultured bacterium. Its description in RNAcentral is "bacterial SSU rRNA". It matches the Rfam family "Bacterial small subunit ribosomal RNA", at positions 29 to 487 of the family's 1533-position model. The record is from RNAcentral.
AACUAACGCUGGCGGCGUGCCUAACACAUGCAAGUCGUACGAGAAAGCCGGCUUCGGCUGGUGAGUAAAGUGGCGCACGGGUGAGUAACGCGUGGAUAAUCUGCCCUUAAGUGUGGAAUAACGUACCGAAAGGUGCGCUAAUACCGCAUAAUGCCUGGCAACACAAGUUGUCCGGCCAAAGAAGGCCUCUGUUUACAAGCUUUCGCUUCAGGAUGAGUCCGCGUACCAUUAGCUUGUUGGUGGGGUAAUGGCCUACCAAGGCUGCGAUGGUUAGCUGGUCUGAGAGGAUGAUCAGCCACACUGGAACUGAGACACGGUCCAGACUCCUACGGGAGGCAGCAGUGAGGAAUAUUGCGCAAUGGGGCAACCCUGACGCAGCAACGCCGCGUGAGUGAGGAAGGUUUUCGGACUGUAAAGCUCUGUCGAGCGGGAAGAAGUGUACCAUGGCUAAUAUCCAUGAUAUUUGACGGUACCGCUAGAGG